Molecule: ribosomal RNA, 97 nt
Filed under: uncultured bacterium
Lineage: Bacteria
Description: partial 16S ribosomal RNA
Source: RNAcentral
CCGCCCGUCACACCAUGGGAGUGAGCUGCUCCAGAAGCCGUUAGUCUAACCGCAAGGGGACGACGACCACGGAGUGGUAGGAUCAAUGACUGGGGCG